UGUCGUAGUAGUAUCUCAUUGUCUAAUUGAGAAUAGAUUGUAAAUUUAGAUUUGAAGGGAAGCUUUAGAUUAGCAGUAACCAUUAUUACUGUUCGGUGACCGAUGAAUCAAAAUUUAUGACUUAGUAUUUUGGCAUUUCAGCGUUGUCCGAUGAAUUAAUCGCAGCCGAAAAGGAGACGAAAAAGUUAACAAUGAUCGGAGCUCCGGUGAGUUGGCAUUUCAAUAUUUUUUUAGCAUUGUUUCUUUAGAAAUCUUUGUUGUUUUAGAACUAAGCUUGAAUUUAUGGAUUUUAAGGUUAAUGUAUACUUCUAAUUGACGAUUUUGAGGUAAGAUUGGUGUUUUUCGCUUACUAAAAGUUUAUUUGAACAAAUUUUGGGAGUAGUUUAUGUUUUAAUGAUAAUUUUAGAUAUUCUGAAGAUAUAGGAGUACUUUUAGUUUCACAACCCUAUUGUAAUAGCUUGUUUGGCAUUUUUCGCCCAUUGAAAGUUAAUUUGAACAAUUUAGGAGUAAAUACGACUGAUCAAUUUAUGUUAUUAGUGUUAAAUUUUUGAUAUUUGUUGUGAUAUAGGAGUAGUACAAUUAUUUGCAAUUAUCCUUGUAAAAUACUCCCUCUAUUACCAACCUUCUUGGCAUUUUUCGCAUACUGAAAAUGAAUUUGAACAAUUUUUAGAGCAACUUCGGCUGGAGUGAUAUAUGUUUUUAGAGGUCGUUUAGUUGGGAAUGGGAUAGAAAAAAUUAUCCCAUGGAUUGGGAUAUCCCAUGGGAUAACUUGUCACAUCAUUAUAAUAUAAAUGAUGGGAUAAUUAAUCUUGGGACUAGCUAAUACUUCUAACAAAACAUAGAAUAAAAUAACCCUACAUCGUAUUUCGGGAUUUUUAUCUUUUGGACCCCUUUUGAUUUUUUUCUUGACUGUUUGUUCUUUCCUCCCUCUAUACUUAUUUAUGUUGUGUUUGAUGGAUGUUUCAUAGAUUCGUUGUCCUUGUUGUUGGUAAUGGUAAUUUUCUUAUAGGAUAGUUGUACUUGGAUUGAGUUAAGUUUUACCAGUUGUAUGGGUUGAGUUUUACACUUUUAGCCAUGCCAAAGUCUGAUAUCUUUAUCUAGCAAAAUAUUGCUUGCUUUAUGGUCUCUAUGGAUAAUUCGUAGUUGAGAGUCUUGAUGAAGAUAUGAUAACCUGUGAGCGAUUCCAUUAAUGAUGUCAAACCACUUUGGCCAAUCAAGUAAUUUACUCUUUGUUUUAUCUAUAAAGUAAGUUUUCUUAUUAGUAGCUUCAUUAAUGUUUUGAAUAAUAGAUCAUAGUAUCAAAUCAUCUUAGCUUCUGUAAUAGGUCAGAUAUCAAAACCAAAUAUGUAUAAAUCCAGGCUUUUGUUAGGCAUGUAUUCAUAGAUCAACAUCUUUUCUUCUCCUUGGAUGCAGCAACCCAAAAGUCUCAUAGGAUUUUGGUGUUGAAGCUUGGAAAUAUAGAUAACUUUGUUCUUGUAUUCAUCAAGUCCCUGCAUGGAAGUCCUUGACAACCUCUUUAUUGCAAUUUCUUGUCCCUCUUCCAGCACUCCCUAGAAAUAGAAAAUGUAUUAUAUUAGAACAUAGGUUUUACAAAGACGAGAAUAUUGCAGAUCGAAAAUAAUCUCUAAUACUCUGAUCUUGAGCAUAAACUAGUUACCCUUCCAACAAAUUUACAUUGUAUACCUUGAAAAUAGGUCCAACUCCACCCUCUCCAAUCUUCUGAUUGAAUAAAAAGUUUUUUGUGGAUCUUUCUAUUGUUGAAAAUAGUAACAGUGGAAACUCUAUAUCGUCUCUGAAUUUCAGUUUCUUUUUUUUCCAUCUUUACCACAACCAAAUCAGGAUCAACAGAAUUGUUUCCGUGAAUAAUGAGAAACUAACUGUGAGUAUCUUUUCCUUUUUUCUUAUUGAACCUACCUCAGAUUCUACAGUCAAUUUUUUUGAGUUAGCCACUGUAAAUAAAGACACACCUCUAACUUUUCAUAGUACCAUCUUGUCUGGUGAAAACUAAGUUAAGAAAUUCUUCAGGUGAAAUUUCAUAAACAAGUUCUUAACUUGCUCUGAAGGAUCCAUCUUGAUGAAAAUAUCUAUUCCUCUUUCGGGAAGUUUUCUGAUGUCAAUUAAUUCCCCAUACCAUAAUAAGCAACCUUGAUCUCCAUAGCUUAUAUCUAGACUUGAAUAAGCUGUGCAAGAGCAAUUCCUGGAGCAUACUUUUCUACACUCUUUGAGUGUCAUUGUUUUAUUGUACUGAGAGUCCUUAGUAUUUGGCAACUUGAUUUUAGAAUAUCUUAGAAAUACAUGUUCCCUAUAGCAAUCUAAGGGUGUCCUCCGAACACACCCUUCUAUCCAAUUACCCUUUUCCCAUAUUGUAGAUAUUUAUCUACAAACUUCUCCAAACAUGCACAAAUAGGUUCAUUAUAUUUGUUAUAUCUCCCAUACAUACCACACAAAUAUGUAUCACAAUUGACUGCAGGUAACUUAUAGUGAACCGUCCAUUUCUUUAUUUGAGCCACCCACAUGAAGCAUUGUAUAUCACCAUCAUCGAAAGGUAAGCCUCAUGGAUAGUUUUAAACUUCUUGCUAAGCUUCAUAUCAGGAAAAUGUGUAUCAGUAGAAAAAUGGAAGCUCUGCCAGAGGAGAGCAAGUAUUCUUGCCGCAUUUACCUUUAGUUGUACAUGAUAGGGGUGUGAUAAGUUUGUUUUAUCUCUAUUGAAAAUAGGGGUUUUGGGAGUUUUGAGAGAAUUAUGCAUUACUCUAGGGUGUGAUAAGUUAUUUUUAUAUCUAUUGGGAAUAAUGUAUUUAAAUGAAACCUUUUUAGGUUGCGCGAUCCCAGUUUCAGGUAACUGCUUUCCAUAUUACUACCUUACGUGACACUUGAUAGAACUCCAGUAUACAAUCAUCUAGUGGUGAUUUUAAUUUUCUACAGAUAUAGUUAAUGGUCUAUCUUCUCUUUGAACAACAAUGACCAAGAACAACUGGAGUUUCGAGAUACAUGGAUAAGUAGUAAGCAGUAAAACCAAUUAUUUUACGUCUUCCCAUUUGAAAAAGAGUUUUUUUUUUGGUAUUAUCAGUCAUAACUAAAAUUAGGCUUCUUUAAAUUGAGGUAGGUUUAGGUUUAUUAUGUGAGGUGUUUUUCUAUUCCCAUUAAAUCAACAUCCACAACUAUUGUAAUACCCCAUAUUUCCCUAGCCAAGAUUAACCCUCAAUACAUGGGUUAUCCUAAAUAAUUUUUUUAGAUUACUCAAUAAUUUUUAGAUUAGAACCUGUUAUUACGUUGGAAAUUCAAUUAGGUUUCCAACGAUAUACAAUUUUCCUAAAUCCGACAACCGAGUAAGAAUUUAUAGCGAUUUUAAGUUUCAGUCAUUAAACAUCGUCAUUCAGGCCAGUAGCGCAUCGCGGAGUGUGUCAAUAUAGAAAUUGUCAAUUUCUAGUGUUUCUCCGUGAUAUUGGCACGUUGCGCCGUAGACCCAGUUCACAACUAUCAAUUUCCAGUGUACCAACGCAAUUCCACCGAGUUGUGAUGCACUUCUAGUUCACAAACAAAGUGGUAAUGCGAUACCACCGCGUCGCGCAACCAUGCAAUUUCCCAGUUGUCAUUUUCCAGUGACACAAUGUGAUAGUGCUGUGUCGUGCUAAGGGUCCAAAUUGAGAAAAUUUCACAAAUAAUUAAAGUUGCACCCGGGGUUAAAUCAGUCUUUUCCUAUGAUUUUAUUCUGCCCAGAUGUGAGAUUUAAGCCCUAAAAUCAUUUAAACCCUUUAUUAUUCACUUUCCCCUAAAAUCAAAAGGUAUUUCUCUCUCAAGAAAACAAACCCUAGCUCUCAAGAAUCAAGGUCAAUUCGAAGAAUCUCUCCAAGAACUCCAAGAAUCUCAUGAAUUAAGGUAUGUUAGAUGUUCAUCCAUGGAUCCUUACCUUCCAUGGAGCCUAAGAAUCCUUUUUCCAAAAUAUAAGAUUUAUGAUUUAUGAUUUCCAUUUAUGAAUUAUCUUGAAUUUAUGUUCAUGGUGUUUUUUGAGUUUUAAUCUAUGAUUUAGAUUACAAAUUCCAAGAAUUGAUUCUAGUAUGUGUUGAAUUUCAUGAUAUUCAUGAUAAACCCUUCAAUUUGCAAGUUGAUUGUUGUAACCAUGUUAACUCUAAGUGUUUAUAACUUAAUGAACCAAGUAUGCUUCUUAUGUGUUUGAUAAAUUGUCUAUGAGAAUGAAAUAAUGCCAUUAUAGCAUGCUAACAUAUAUUCCCCAUCCAUGUACAAGUUAAUGCAUUACAAGUGUUUGAUGGAAUGUCUCUGUGAAUGAAUUAUGCCCAAGUGAACAUUGUUAUGUUAUUCAAGAUAAUGCUUUGCUUUACUUUUCAUGUUAUCGAGUCCUAGGGGUAUUUAAUACCCGAUAAUUUAGCUGUUUACCUAGAGCUAGUGGCAAUGACAUAAUAGUAUCUAUCAUGUCAUGAUUAGUAGUACUCUCAGUCAGUAGAAUUCAGGCAGUUAUAAAACUUCGAAAAACUCAGUAAUCUCAGUAUCAAUCCAGUCCUAUUCAGUAUACUCAAUUCAGUGUCUUUUAGUUAGGAGUAGGAACUAGUACCAAGCGAGGGUGGAAGUGAAGACUUCUCUCGUCAGGAAGAUUGAGUCAUUAGUAGUAGUCUCACACUACAGAACUACAUAGCCAGCGUAGGAUGAGAGGAGUCACCCAUUAGAUUAAGGCUUGGCUACCUCUUAGGGGUCAUCCUUCAAAUUAGGCUUGACUUUCUGUUCAGGGUCACCCAUUAGAUAGGCUUGACCAUAAUAAUGUGUUUACCCGUGGCAUGGUACUAGCACCCUUCCAAAUAGGGUUUACUUAGGGGAAUGUCGGUUAAGUGAGAACUUCCACAAUUUCAGUUCCAAUCUCAGUCUUCAAAAUAGAACUCAGUUCAAUUCUACAGAAUCAGAACUGUUAGAUAUAAUCUCUCAGUUAUCAGUAAAUCAGAUUUUUAGUGAUCUCAAAUUAUCAGUAUAUUUAGUUAUCAAUUAUUAGAUUCAGUUCUAGUAUACUCAGUUACAGUAUGCACAGUAUGUUCAGUAGUUACAUAUCCUCCAUGUCUGCUAAUCGAUAUCUUGCAUAUCAUUUAGUUAGUUAUUGUUCAUGUAUAUGAACCCAUGUAUUUUGCCUUAUCUCAUUUAGCAUACCAGUACAUUCCUACGUAUUGAUUGCAUACUCGUUUCUUACACUAUGAUGUUUCAUAUCAUAGGAUCAAACGCUCUGGUUCUUGAU
RNAcentral lists this long non-coding RNA (5233 nucleotides) under Capsicum annuum. Its description in RNAcentral is "long non-coding RNA (CANN_LNC004972)". The record is from RNAcentral. Lineage: Eukaryota; Viridiplantae; Streptophyta; Magnoliopsida; Solanales; Solanaceae.